RNAcentral lists this ribosomal RNA (485 nucleotides) under uncultured bacterium. RNAcentral's name for it is "bacterial SSU rRNA". It matches the Rfam family "Bacterial small subunit ribosomal RNA", at positions 30 to 511 of the family's 1533-position model. The record is from RNAcentral.
AUUGAACGCUGGCGGCAUGCCUAACACAUGCAAGUCGAACGGCAGCACGGGAGCUUGCUCCUGGUGGCGAGUGGCGGACGGGUGAGUAAUGCAUAGGAAUCUGCCCAGUAGCGGGGGACAACUUGGGGAAACUCAAGCUAAUACCGCAUGCGCCCUACGGGGGAAAGCGGGGGACCUUCGGGCCUCGCACUAUUGGAUGAGCCUAUGUCAGAUUAGCUUGUUGGUGGGGUAACGGCCUACCAAGGCGACGAUCUGUAGCUGGUCUGAGAGGACGAUCAGCCACACUGGGACUGAGACACGGCCCAGACUCCUACGGGAGGCAGCAGUGGGGAAUAUUGCACAAUGGGUGAGAGCCUGAACCAGCCAUGCCGCGUGCAGGAAGACGGCCUUCUGGGUUGUAAACUGCUUUUAUCUGGGGAUAAAAAGAACCGUGCGCGGUUAAUUGAAGGUACCAGAUGAAUAAGCACCGGCUAACUACGUGCCAG